UACUGAGUGGCAAACGGGUGAGUAUAAUGUGGGAAUCUGCCUUUUGGUUUGGAAUAACACGAGGAAACUUGUGCUAAUACCGAAUAAGCCCUUACGGGGAAAGUUUUAACGCCGAAAGAUGAGCCCGCACUUGAUUAGCUAGUUGGUAAGGUAAAAGCUUACCAAGGCAAUGAUCAAUAGCUGUUCUUAGAGGAAGACCAGCCACAUUGGGACUGAGACACGGCCCAGACUCCUACGGGAGGCAGCAGUGGGGAAUCUUGCACAAUGGGGGAAACCCUGAUGCAGCGAUGCCGCGUGAGUGAAGAAGGCCUUUGGGUUGUAAAACUCUUUCGUCGGGGAAGAAAAUGACUGUACCCGAAUAAGAAGGUCCGGCUAACUUCGUGCCAGCAGCCGCGGUAAUACGAAGGGACCUAGCGUAGUUCGGAAUUACUGGGCUUAAAGAGCUCGUAGGUGGUUAAAAAAGUUGAUGGUGAAAUCCCAAGGCUCAACCUUGGAACUGCCAUC
RNAcentral lists this ribosomal RNA (504 nucleotides) under uncultured Pelagibacterales bacterium. RNAcentral describes it as "bacterial SSU rRNA". It matches the Rfam family "Bacterial small subunit ribosomal RNA", at positions 89 to 628 of the family's 1533-position model. Lineage: Bacteria; Pseudomonadati; Pseudomonadota; Alphaproteobacteria; Candidatus Pelagibacterales. The record is from RNAcentral.